GAAAAAAGAAAAGAAAGAAUAGUACCUAUAAUUAUAUAUCACAUUAAGUCAAGCAAAUAGUUUGGCAUUAAAAUCUUUAUGAACUAUUAAAAUUUAACAAUAAAUGAUAGAACCUAUAUAUCUCCCACAUUCAAUAAACAAUACAUAUAAAAGGAUGGAUCCAUUUGUUUUGGGAAGAAAAAUUAUUUGUAGAAAUUUUAUUUGUGGAAAAUGGUUAUCCAUAAGAUGACUUAUUUUCCAUUGUCUUAUUGUAACAUUAAAAAAUUAUUAAGAAAACUAAUGAGUUUUAAUUUAAUAUUGAAGUCGUC
This 308-nucleotide unclassified non-coding RNA is filed under the name Hevea brasiliensis (rubber tree). The record is from RNAcentral. Lineage: Eukaryota; Viridiplantae; Streptophyta; Magnoliopsida; Malpighiales; Euphorbiaceae.